This 861-nucleotide ribosomal RNA is filed under the name uncultured bacterium. RNAcentral's name for it is "bacterial SSU rRNA". It matches the Rfam family "Bacterial small subunit ribosomal RNA", at positions 58 to 917 of the family's 1533-position model. The record is from RNAcentral.
CAAGUCGAACGGUAACAGGUCUUCGGAUGCUGACGAGUGGCGAACGGGUGAGUAAUACAUCGGAACGUGCCCAGUAAUGGGGGAUAGCUCGGCGAAAGCCGGAUUAAUACCGCAUACGCCCUGAGGGGGAAAGUGGGGGACCGCAAGGCCUCACGUUAUUGGAGCGGCCGAUGGCUGAUUAGCUAGUUGGUAGGGUAAAGGCCUACCAAGGCGACGAUCAGUAGCUGGUCUGAGAGGACGAUCAGCCACACUGGGACUGAGACACGGCCCAGACUCCUACGGGAGGCAGCAGUGGGGAAUUUUGGACAAUGGGGGAAACCCUGAUCCAGCAAUGCCGCGUGUGCGAAGAAGGCCUUCGGGUUGUAAAGCACUUUUGUCAGGGAAGAAAUCCUUUGGGAUAAUACCCCAGGGGGAUGACGGUACCUGAAGAAUAAGCACCGGCUAACUACGUGCCAGCAGCCGCGGUAAUACGUAGGGUGCAAGCGUUAAUCGGAAUUACUGGGCGUAAAGCGUGCGCAGGCGGUUGUGUAAGACAGGUGUGAAAUCCCCGGGCUUAACCUGGGAAUUGCAUUUGUGACUGCACGACUAGAGUGUGUCAGAGGGGGGUGGAAUUCCACGUGUAGCAGUGAAAUGCGUAGAUAUGUGGAGGAACACCAAUGGCGAAGGCAGCCCCCUGGGAUAACACUGACGCUCAUGCACGAAAGCGUGGGGAGCAAACAGGAUUAGAUACCCUGGUAGUCCACGCCCUAAACGAUGUCAACUAGUUGUUGGGGAUUUACUUCCUUGGUAACGUAGCUAACGCGUGAAGUUGACCGCCUGGGGAGUACGGCCGCAAGGUUAAAACUCAAAGGAAUUGACGGG